This is a non-coding RNA of Podarcis muralis (Common wall lizard), 1178 nucleotides long. Lineage: Eukaryota; Metazoa; Chordata; Lepidosauria; Squamata; Lacertidae. The record is from RefSeq and is a predicted model, not a curated record.
UCCGCGCAAGGGCUGGCCCGACGGCGGGGAAGGAGGAGGCUCCAGCCUCUGCUGCUCCCAGCGGCUCCGCCCGGCAUCGCGCUCCCGCUCGCCUGCCUGGGUCGGGCCUUCCUCUCGCCUCUCCUCCUGCCGCUCGCUCUCCUCCUUCUCGCGGGCGAUGGCGGCGCUCCACGGGGCGGCCACCAAGGCCGGCGCCCCGCCGCAGAUCCCGGACACCCGUCGCGAGCUGGCCGAGCUGGUCAAGCGCAAGCAGGAGCUGGCCGAGACGCUGGCCAACUUGGAGCGUCAGAUCUACGCCUUCGAGGGCAGCUACCUGGAAGAUACCCAGAUGUACGGCAACAUCAUCCGAGGCUGGGACCGCUACCUGACCAACCAGAAGAACUCCAACAGCAAGAAUGACCGACGGAAUCGCAAGUUCAAAGAAGCCGAGCGCCUUUUCAGCAAGUCUUCAGUCACAUCAGCUGCUGCGGUCAGCGCACUGGCAGGAGUUCAGGACCAGCUCAUUGAAAAACGGGAGCCUGGCAGUGGGACGGAGAGCGACACCUCCCCAGACUUCCACAACCAGGAGAACGAACCGAGCCAAGAAGAAGCGGAAGAGCUGGACGGCUCCGUCCAAGGGGUGAAGCCCCAGAAGGCAGCAUCCUCCACUUCGGGCAGCCACCACAGUAGCCACAAAAAACGGAAGAACAAAAAUCGACACAGCCCGUCUGGCAUGUUUGAUUAUGACUUUGAGUAUGUAUAUUAGGUUAGGCUGGCAAGUUUUUUAAAAUACAGACAAAAGCGCAUUGGAGGAUUGAUCUCAAAUUGAACAAAAAGCCCCGAGCUGAUUACUAGAUGCCUCCAAGCUGAAUCUUCCAAGAGCCUGUCUGCCUUCCGCCCCAAAUCCCAGCCCUCACAGGAGACUGAAUAAGCACAAGGCCAGCUCUUUCCCAUCCCAGACUGCCCAGGUCUCCUGCUCAGCUCAGCUCAGAUGAUGUUGAUGGGGACAAUCUGUGACAGCAGCAGCAGCUGCUCCUUCUUUGCUUCCUUCCUUCUCAGCUGUUCGGCGACAGACGCCCACCUUGGAUUGGCCAGCCUCACUGCUGCUGUUCCAUCAUGUGUAAAACAACCAUCAGGAAAUGCUCUUGUUGAUGUUUCCUUCUGUUUCUUCUGGUUGAUUAUAACCCAUUUUUUUGUCU